AUAGAAAAGUAAGUAUUAAAUUAUCACAACUUACUAAAAUAUGUUUUUAAGUAAAUGCUGUAAAAAAAAUUAAAAGUUAGUUAACUAAAUAACUAAUUCUUGCCUUAAACUGCCACAUGUCUUUCUCUUGUGCUGCCAUUUGGCUUAAUUAUAGGCUAGACUUUCUUCCUAUUAAAUAUACUUGCCCGGGCCCAACACGAACACGAACACAAGGUCAGUACAAUAUGUUGUACUCAUAAGUAAAGCAGAGAAAUUUAUUAUGAUCAAGUUAAGUAUGUUUCGGUUGAGCUGUAGUAGGGCAUAAAGUAUCUCUAUUGUGUUCCCCAACAAUUAUACAUACGGAUUUACAUCUAGAGCAUCGUAAGCGCUGUUGAAUCUUGUGUGCUCACAUCCUAUUGAAUAUCAG
RNAcentral lists this long non-coding RNA (406 nucleotides) under Solanum tuberosum (potato). Its description in RNAcentral is "long non-coding RNA (STUB_LNC000695)". The record is from RNAcentral. Lineage: Eukaryota; Viridiplantae; Streptophyta; Magnoliopsida; Solanales; Solanaceae.